RNAcentral lists this non-coding RNA (21 nucleotides) under Caenorhabditis elegans. Lineage: Eukaryota; Metazoa; Nematoda; Chromadorea; Rhabditida; Rhabditidae. The record is from RNAcentral.
UGUUUUGUCCAAAUGGGAAAA